Molecule: ribosomal RNA, 468 nt
Filed under: uncultured bacterium
Lineage: Bacteria
Description: partial 16S ribosomal RNA
Rfam family: Bacterial small subunit ribosomal RNA
Source: RNAcentral
GACGAACGCUGGCGGCGUGCUUAACACAUGCAAGUCGAACGGAAAGGCCCUGCUUUUGUGGGGUGCUCGAGUGGCGAACGGGUGAGUAACACGUGAGUAACCUGCCCUUGACUUUGGGAUAACUUCAGGAAACUGGGGCUAAUACCGGAUAGGAGCUCCUGCUGCAUGGUGGGGGUUGGAAAGUUUCGGCGGUUGGGGAUGGACUCGCGGCUUAUCAGCUUGUUGGGGGGGUAGUGGCUUACCAAGGCUUUGACGGGUAGCCGGCCUGAGAGGGUGACCGGCCACAUUGGGACUGAGAUACGGCCCAGUCUCCUACGGGAGGCAGCAGUGGGGAAUAUUGCACAAUGGGCGGAAGCCUGAUGCAGCAACGCCGCGUGCGGGAUGACGGCCUUCGGGUUGUAAACCGCUUUCGCCUGUGACGAAGCGUGAGUGACGGUAAUGGGUAAAGAAGCACCGGCUAACUACGUG